AUGGCUUCCGGCGUCCACGCGGCGGCGGACGGCGUCGCCGCGCUCGGGAUCUCCCCCGCCGGCGGCGAGUGGGCCGGGCCCUGCCCCGCGCUGCGCCGGAACCUGCACCUCCUCUCCCACGACCAGGUUGAGCUUGCAAAGAUGCUGCUGAAUGAAGGACAGGGGCACUUGUUUGAACACUGGCCAGAGCCCGGUGUCGACGACGACAAGAAGAAAAGCUUCUUUGACCAGGUUUGCCGACUUAACUCAAGCUAUCCUGGUGGGCUGGCAGCAUACAUCCAGAAUGCCAAAAAGCUUUUAGCAGAGUCCAAGGCAGGACAAAAUCCAUAUGAUGGUUUCGCACCUUCUGUUCCCUCGGGGGAAGUAUUGACGUUUGGUGAUGACAAUUUUGUUUCACUGGAAGCAGCUGGGGUAAAAGAAGCACGCAAUGCUGCAUUUGUUCUUGUAGCUGGUGGUCUUGGUGAAAGACUUGGUUACAAAGGAAUUAAGGUAGCACUCCCCAGGGAAACAACCACUGGGAAAUGUUUUCUUCAACAUUACAUAGAGUCUAUUCUGGCUUUACAAGAGGCGAGCUGCAAAAUGGAGGGCGAAUGCCAUACGAAGAUCCCAUUUGCUAUUAUGACUUCCGAUGAUACGAAUGCACUGACCAUCAAGCUUUUGGAAUCAAACUCGUAUUUUGGAAUGGAACCAUCACAAGUGAAAAUUCUAAAGCAGGAAAAAGUGGCAUGUCUAGCUGACAACGAUGCAAGGCUUGCAUUAGAUCCAAAUGACAAGUACAAGAUUCAGACAAAGCCACAUGGGCAUGGAGAUGUUCAUUCUCUUCUUUAUUCAAGUGGAUUACUCGAGCAAUGGAAGAAUACAGGACGGAGAUGGGUUCUCUUUUUCCAGGACACAAAUGGAUUGCUCUUUAAUGCAAUACCAUCAGCAUUAGGUGUCAGUGCCACCAAGGGCUACAAUGUUAAUUCUCUUGCAGUUCCUCGAAAGGCAAAGGAAGCCAUUGGUGGAAUAACCAAACUUACUCAUGUUGAUGGUAGAACAAUGGUGAUCAAUGUGGAGUACAAUCAGCUUGAUCCACUCCUUCGUGCAACUGGGCAUCCUGAUGGAGACGCAAAUUGUGAAACAGGCUAUUCUCCAUACCCUGGAAAUAUAAACCAGCUGAUACUCGAGCUUGGACCAUACAUUGAGGAGCUCAAGAAAACACAUGGCGCCAUUUCUGAAUUUGUAAAUCCAAAGUAUACUGACUCUACCAAGACAGCAUUUAAAUCCUCCACUCGUCUUGAGUGCAUGAUGCAAGACUAUCCGAAAACACUACCUCCAACGGCAAAAGUUGGGUUUACGGUGAUGGAUGCUUGGCUUGCAUAUGCUCCUGUAAAGAACAAUCCUGAAGAUGCAGCUAAAGUUCCAAAAGGUAAUCCUUUUCAUAGUGCAACCUCAGGAGAGAUGGCAAUUUACAGGGCAAACAGCCUUAUUUUAAGAAAGGCCGGUGCACACAUAUCUGACCCUGUAGCCAGCACUUUCAAUGGUCAAGAGGUAGAGGUCUGGCCACGCGUGGCCUGGAGCCCGAGGUGGGGUCUUACGUUCAAGGACGUCAAGCAAAGGCUGCACGGCAACUCUUCAGUUUCUCAGAGAUCGGUUCUGGUCAUCAAUGGCCGGAACGUCGUCAUCGACGGUCUUUCCUUGGACGGCGCUCUUAUUGUCAACUCCGUCGACGAAGCAGAGGUGAAAGUCACCGGUCAUGUGGAAAACAAAGGCUGGACUAUCCAGCACGUCGACCACAGGGACACCUCGGAGAAAGAAGAGACGAGGAUCCGCGGGUUCAAGUUUGAGAAGGUUGAGCAGCUGGAGGUGAACUACACCGAGCCGGGAAAGCAUUGCCUGAGCCCAUGA
RNAcentral lists this ribosomal RNA (1887 nucleotides) under Triticum aestivum (bread wheat). Its description in RNAcentral is "partial small subunit ribosomal RNA". Lineage: Eukaryota; Viridiplantae; Streptophyta; Magnoliopsida; Poales; Poaceae. The record is from RNAcentral.